UUGUGGUUAAAAAGCUCGUAGUUGGAUCUCAGCAGUUUGAGGUUGGUGUACUUGCUAGUAUUACUGCCCUAUAGACUGUAGUUUUGCCAGAGGUAGUUGGGUGCUCUUAAUCGAGUGUCCUAUUAUGCUGGCAGGUUUACUUUGAAAAAAUUAGAGUGCUCAAAGCAGGCUAUUACGUCUGAAUAUUCGUGCAUGGAAUAAUAGAAUAGGAAGUCGUUUCUAUUUUGUUGGUUUUUAAGUUUCGACUUAAUGAUUAAUAGGGACAAACGGGGGCAUUAGUAUUCAAGCGACAGAGGUGAAAUUCUUGGACCGCUUGAAGACUAACUACUGCGAAAGCAUUUGCCAAGAGUGUUUUCAUUAAUCAAGAACGAAAGUUAGAGGUUCGAAGGCGAUUAGAUACCGCCCUAGUUCUAACCAUAAACGAUGCCAGCUAGCGAUCUGCCGACGUUUUUUUUGUAGACUCGGCAGGAAGCUUCCGGGAAACCAAAGCAUUUGGGUUCCAGGGGAAGUAUGGUUGCAAAGCUGAAACUUAAAGGAAUUGACGGAAGGGCACCACCAGGAGUGGAGCCUGUGGCUUAAUUUGACUCAACACGGGAAAUCUCACCAGGCCCGGACACUGGAAGGAUUGACAGAUUGAUAGCUCUU
RNAcentral lists this ribosomal RNA (645 nucleotides) under uncultured marine eukaryote. RNAcentral describes it as "SSU rRNA". It matches the Rfam family "Eukaryotic small subunit ribosomal RNA", at positions 613 to 1259 of the family's 1831-position model. The record is from RNAcentral.